UAGUCCUACGGGACGCAGCAGUAGGGAAUUUUCGUCAAUGGGCGCAAGCCUGAACGAGCAAUGCCGCGUGAACGAGGAAGGUCUUCGGAUCGUAAAGUUCUGUUGAAGGGGAAAAAGAGCGGAGAGAGGAAAUGGUCUCCGAUUGAUAUUACCCUUCGAGGAAGUCACGGCUAACUACGUGCCAGCAGCCGCGGUAAUACGUAGAUGGCGAGCGUUAUCCGGAAUGAUUGGGCGUAAAGGGUUCGUAUGCGGCCUG
RNAcentral lists this ribosomal RNA (256 nucleotides) under uncultured bacterium. RNAcentral describes it as "partial 16S ribosomal RNA". It matches the Rfam family "Bacterial small subunit ribosomal RNA", at positions 334 to 582 of the family's 1533-position model. The record is from RNAcentral.